AAUGAGUUCAUCUCAAUCUCUAGGUUUGUCUUCUUCAACACAGCAUGAUGUUGAUUUUGUGAAUAAUGGUCCAUUUAGAGUCAAAUAGAACAUCAAGCAGGGAAAUGCUUUGUGAUUGACAGGUAUGUUGCUGCUUCCACAGCUGUAUACGGCACCUCCACAUCACUCCUCCGCCAGAUGUGGGAACUUCCAUUCACUGGUUUAAAAAUGAAUAAUGGUGUCGGUCGGAACCCGACGGGGCGAAGCUUCGUAACAACAGUCCACACGUUUAUGGUGGUUACACAUCCAGCAGACACAAGGGACACAAACGAUCAUUUCUAGUCUUGUUACUUUUUAAUCUCCGCCAGGUUCCUUCUGUGGGGAGAUCACGUGUUUUGUUGUGUUUGUGUGUGAGUGUGUGUGAGCAUCUGUUUGUCCGUCCGUGGAUAAUUUACAACUACUGGAGCCAUCAGUCCGCCAGUUGUAGUUGCUCACACAGGUAUUUUCCCCACAGUUUUGUAGCAUCACUGCUUCUCUUGCACAAAUGUUGUGGUAACUUUACCUCCUCCGAUUCGGGUUAAACUAUGCCUUUUGUCGCGGCUCAAAAGCCCAGCUCAGGAUAACAGGUUGAAAGACGCCGAGGCGGUCUGAGGAGAGUCAUUUUCUACCACCGUUAACAAAAGAAUACGGAGCACACUGCAGCUUUAAGACGAAGGUAUGAACCCUGUUCAAUGGGCACUUUGACCCCGCCUCGGCCCCCAUUUGGACUACUCCAACUGUACGACCACAGCCCUGGUUUGAAGGACCGUGGCGGGCCAAGGAGAAGCUCUGCUCAGCCAACAAAAGCAAUCAAACUCACACCUGACUCUGGCUCUGUCGCUAACUGGCAUCCAUCACGCCAUAUGGCACACGGAGCGCGGCAGAUACGGAAAAAUCCCACAUUCUAAUCCAAUCAAAACACGAUUACGACAAAAGCGCACAAUGUGCACUUGUCCUUCAGCUCCCCCUUCAGUGUUGAUCCAGCAAGCAGAGAAGGUGUGGUUCCCCUGCAUGGAGGCUGGGGGGGGGGGGCUAAAUGGUAAAUGGCCUGUACUUGUAUAGCGCUUUUCUAGUCUUCUGACCACUCAAAGCGCUUUAACACUACAUGACAUCAUUCACCCAUUCACACCCAUUCACACACUGAUGACAGGAGAACCACACACAGUGACACCUGCCAUCAGUAACUACCAUUCACACACUGAUGACAGGAGAACCACACACAGUGACACCUGCCAUCAGUAACUACCAUCCACACACUGUAGUCACAGCUACAGGAGCAAUGUUGGGUUAAGUGUCUUGCCCAAGGACACAACGACAUGCGGGUUAGCAGAUCCUGGGAUCGAACCGACAACCCAUUUCAGUCUGAUGCUAAAUCUUGUGCAUUCUUUCGCUGGCUGGUGUAAAUUGUUUUCAUUUUUAGCCAGCCUCCAGCCUGCAUGCAGGGGGAGUGUGGUUACCCUGUAUAGAGGCUGGGGGGAGUGUGGUUACCCUGCAUGGAGGCUGGGGGGGAGUGUGGUUACCCUGUAUGGAGGCUGGGGAUGUGUGGUUACCCUGUAGAGAGGCUGGGGUGUGUGUGGUUACCCUGUAUGGAGGCUGGGGCGUGCGUACGCGACACACACACAUGGGAGAUUGAUGCUUUUAGCUUUUUGUCAUCACCUGCUUCAAAGCAGUAAAAAAGAAAGCAUGAGACAACUAGAGCAACCCAACAAAAGACAGGGGGGGAUCUGCUUUGGAGGAAUGUCUAAGGGGUUCUGUUGGGGGGG
This is a long non-coding RNA of Gasterosteus aculeatus aculeatus (three-spined stickleback), 1781 nucleotides long. The record is from Ensembl. NCBI's taxonomy places the organism in Eukaryota, Metazoa, Chordata, Actinopteri, Perciformes, Gasterosteidae.